AAGUCGUAACAAGGUUUCCGUAGGUGAACCUGCGGAAGGAUCAUUACCGAGUGCGGGCCCUCUGGGUCCAACCUCCCACCCGUGUUUAUUGUACCUUGUUGCUUCGGCGGGCCCGCCAUUCUGGCCGCUAAGGGGCACCUGCCCCUACGCCCGCGCCCGCCGAAGACACCUCGAACUCUGUCUGAAGAUUGAAGUCUGAGUGAAAAUACAAAUAAGUUAAAACUUUCAACAACGGAUCUCUUGGUUCCG
RNAcentral lists this unclassified non-coding RNA (249 nucleotides) under Penicillium senticosum. RNAcentral's name for it is "partial internal transcribed spacer region". The stretch from base 1 to 46 matches the Rfam family "Eukaryotic small subunit ribosomal RNA", at positions 1786 to 1831 of the family's 1831-position model. The record is from RNAcentral. Lineage: Eukaryota; Fungi; Ascomycota; Eurotiomycetes; Eurotiales; Aspergillaceae.